GGUGACAGGUGUGUGCGUGGUUGUCCUCACCUCGUGUCGUGAGAUGUUGGGUUAUGUCCCGCAACGAGCGCAACCCUUGUCGUCUUUUGCCCGCACUUUGGGGGGGACCCCUGGGAAAACCGCCCGGUAAAACCCGAAGAAAGGGGGGAUGAAAUCCAAUCAUCCUGCCCCUUUUGUCCUGGGCUACACACAUGCUACAAUGGGCGGUACAAAGGGGAUCCAAACCCUGGAGGGGAACCAAACCCCAAAAAACCGUUUCAAUUUCGAAAUGANGCUGCAACUCUCCCGUGUUAAACUUGAAACCCUUNUAAUCCCCGAACAACAUGCCCCGGGGAAAACCUUUCCCGGGCCUUUUAACACCGAAAAA
Molecule: ribosomal RNA, 367 nt
Filed under: uncultured bacterium
Lineage: Bacteria
Description: partial 16S ribosomal RNA
Rfam family: Bacterial small subunit ribosomal RNA
Source: RNAcentral